Hydractinia symbiolongicarpus is the source of this 1827-nucleotide long non-coding RNA. RefSeq lists it as uncharacterized. The transcript is spliced from 2 exons. NCBI's taxonomy places the organism in Eukaryota, Metazoa, Cnidaria, Hydrozoa, Anthoathecata, Hydractiniidae. The record is from RefSeq and is a predicted model, not a curated record.
AUGCGCUUUCCUCAUUGGUUCGUUCUAAAUUCAAAAAAAACAAAAUGGCCGUUCAAAAGCGAAGAAAUGUAACGGUUGAAGCAGUGCAAAAUUAUGUCGAUUUGCUAGCUUUUUCUUAGUUUUUAUCUGGAAAUAUGUGUCUAUAUAAUGGUCUACACAUUUGUAGUUGUUCUUCUUAUGCGUUUGAUAGCCACAAACGGCUGCUUGAACGUUUGAUUUAAUACUGUUUUUGGGGAAUUUAUGUCUCUGUGUUUGUGUUUGUGUGGCUAGCUGGCACUAUGUUUUAUUUGUGUAAGCAUCAAAAGUGAUUUGCAUUUGUGUACUGUUUUUUUGGGAAGCUUAGGUAGCCUUUGGUUUGUAUCUUGUGAAUUAAGACUAUGUGCUUUGACUGCGAGUUCGUCUAUGAGCUCCCUAAUAGGAAACGUUUGCUCAGCUUGUCUUUUGAUGAUGAAUAUAAAGCUAAACUUUCAGUUUGUGCUAAUACUAUACUCCCUGUGUUAUAUAUAUAUGUUGUAUAUUUUGUACUGUCGCUAGGCAAUAUUGGCUAUUAUUGUUGUUUUUUACAGCAAUAUAUCGCAGAAGUAGCUAUAUAUAAGAGGACUUUUGUUGUCAUUUAUUACGUUAAACCUAAAACUGGCUUGGACAAAAAAACCUGGGACAGAAGAUUGUCCUUGUUUGCAAAUGGAGAAUAUACGUUUGGUCGGGGGCAGUCCACUUUUUUCUUAAUCAUCUGUUUUGCUUUUGAUUUUCCUUUCAAUUUUUCCGAAAGUUGCCUUUUCCUUACUUAUUCAACCUUAAAUUUUUAUUUUAACUGAUAAUUUUUAUAUAUAUAUAUAUUUUACUAUUUUUUUACUAAUUUCGACACAUACGCAGGACAAACAUUUAUAGCAGUUUUUACAACUGAAAUUUUCAUCCUGUAUAAGCAUUUUUAAAUGAUAAUGAUAAUAAUAAUAAUAAUAAUAAUAAUAAUAAUAAUAAUAAUAAUAAUAAUAAUAAUAAUAAGAAUAUGCUUUUUCAUUUUCGGAUAGAUUUGCAUCACUUUUCGGAUAGAUUUGCAUCGUUCGGAUAGACUUGCAUCGGUACCGGAUAGAUUUGCAUCGCUAUCGGAUAGAUUUGCAUCGCUAUCGGAUAGAUUUGCAUCAUUUCCGGCUGCCGUGUAAUUUUUUACAUUUCUAAAAUGGCACCUUGAGGCGGACGACGAGCAAGAGCAGCUAUAUAAACUGCUACUGCUUAUUUAUUUUGUGUACCCUCCAAAUGUUUUAACCGUUCAUAUGGAAAUUGGUAGAACCGUUGGAAAUUGUUAAAAAUAUGUCGCCAUUGUUACGUCAGCGUGCAGCAAGAUUAAUUAUACUUGAAAAGAAUGGCGUCAAAUUCUGUUUUCAAUAAACGAAGAAAGUAUCCAAAUUGUUACAUAUUUUUUUCCAUAAAAGCCUUCUUGCUUGUCAACUACCGUGUCCGACCAACAAUACGUACGAAAACUCAUUUGCAAUCCUGUUUUUAUGCAGCUACUUGUAUUAUAGGACGACAGAUUUAUGUAAAUUGACAGGUAGACCUAAUUGCAACGCACGACAUGGUCUACAGACGGUAUCCUACAUUGGAGCAAAUUUGUGGGAUGUGCUUCCGGUAUAAAGGAAGCUGAAAGUCUGAACUCAUUUUCUUCACAGCCUGAAGUCUUAUUAUUUUUAUUAGAUCUAUUUAUUUUUAUAUCGUCAAUUUAGCCAAGUGUAGUCGUACUCUUCUAUCAAAUCCUAUACAUGACUUCAUACAAGAGGUGACAUUUCCAUUUGUAUCCUUUUAAUUGACGUUAAAUAAAUUUAUGUCUGUUUA